CCUACGGGAGGCUGCAGUCGAGAAUCUUUCGCAAUGGGCGAAAGCCUGACGAAGCGACGCCGUGUGAGUGAUGAAGGCCUUAGGGUUGUAAAGCUCUUUCGCUUGUGAACGGGUAGCAGGUAAAGAAGCACCGGCUAACUCUGUGCCAGCAGCUGCGGUAAUACAGAGGGUGCAAGCAUUAAUCGGAUUUAUUGGGCGUAAAGAGCGCGCAGGCGGGUUUUUAAGUCAGAUGUGAAAUCCUGGGGCUCAACCCCAGAACAGCAUUUGAAACUGAAAAUCUUGAGGGUAGUCGGAGAAAAUGGAAUUCCACGUGUAGCGGUGAAAUGCGUAGAUAUGUGGAAGAACACCGGUGGCGAAGGCGAUUUUCUAGAUUAUCCUGACGCUGAGGCGCGAAAGCAAGGGGAUCAAACAGGAUUAGAUACCCUUGUAGUC
This 432-nucleotide ribosomal RNA is filed under the name uncultured bacterium. RNAcentral describes it as "partial 16S ribosomal RNA". It matches the Rfam family "Bacterial small subunit ribosomal RNA", at positions 338 to 795 of the family's 1533-position model. The record is from RNAcentral.